RNAcentral lists this long non-coding RNA (9060 nucleotides) under Malus domestica (apple). RNAcentral describes it as "long non-coding RNA (MDOM_LNC014784)". Lineage: Eukaryota; Viridiplantae; Streptophyta; Magnoliopsida; Rosales; Rosaceae. The record is from RNAcentral.
GUAAUCUUCCGCUUCACAUCCACGGCCUUGGCCUUCACAUUCGCCUCCUGAAUCCCAUCGAGACACGUCUCGUCAUCCGUGAGGGCGGCGCUCAGCCACGUCUGGGCAUUGCUCAUCUGGAAUCGAAACGUCUCCUUCCGGAGGUGGUGCAGCUCGGCGAGCGUCUCGCUCAGCUCGUCCACCGACGUCGACAUCAGGUCCACGCAGUCGCCGAUCGCCGAGAGCUGCAGCUUCGUCCCCUUGAAGGAGGCGGAGAGCUGGGCGAGGAAGCCGGAGACGCGGAGUGAGCGGGCGAGGCUAACGUUCACAGCGGCCUGGGCGAGGUCGCGGGGGGUCUUGGCGGGGCCGGCGUAGUUGGAUAGAGUGCGGAGGCAGAUUUUGGGGUAAGUGGCGUGGCGACAUGAUGAACGGACGAUAUUUGAUGCUGGGUGGUGUUUCCCUGCGGCGGAGGCGGAGUACAGCGAGCAGAAGAGGAGGACGAGGAGAGGGAGAAGAGAGAGUAGGAAACGCAUCGAGGAGGUGAGUAGAGUGAAGAUUGAAGAGUGUGGAAUUAAUCUGUGGCAGUGUUAGUCUGGUCGCUGGGGGGUGAGAGGUUGGGUAUAUAUAGGGGGCGUCUGUAGUGAACCAGUGACAGUGGGAAAGUAAACGGGCAAAUCUCCGUUUUAGACUAGGAAUGUUUAACAUUAGGUUAGCCUUGCCUUCCAAUAUCUUUCUAUUCGUUUAGAUAUACUUUUAAAAUAAUUGAAAACGUUUUUAGUGAAAAUAUUUUUAGAUUCCAAAAGCAUUUUAAGUGAUUUCUGCAAUAAACACUAAUUAUGUGCUUCUUUCAAGAAACACUUUAAGUAAUUUUUCAGGAUUCACUUGUAUUUUUACUAAGGAUUGAUUCAAAAAAUAUUAUCACCAAAAAUACUUUCAGUUAUUUUAAAAGCACAUCCAAACUAGCCUUUAAUAGUUUAAUACAAAACAUAGAUCACGUUAAUGUUUUUAAACUAAACUGCUUUAACAGAAGAAAAUAUAAAAAGAAAACAAAGAAUAUUGACAUUCAUAUUUUGCUGUCCGAUCAAGGAAUGAUUAAAAUAACUUUUUAUAUAUAGCGUCAUUCAAUAAUUCACUCAGGACAUUCGAAGAUAUAUUUUUAUCGGUUCACAAUUUCCUUACUUUUGUAAUCUUCUUUCCAAUAUGAGGUUUGGUUUUUCUCGUUUUUCUUUGUAUUGAUUCCAUCUAGGUAUUAUUCUUCUCGAUCACAUCUUAUUGGUCACUUCAUUUGAUUUUGAAUCAUUAAAACCUGUAUUGCUAUUUCUUAUUUACAGAGGAUAAACAACCCAAAAUCCUAGCCAUGCUCUUCUUUUUUUUCAACGUACAUUCAUUAAUAAGAACAUCAUUCAUCAUGAAUACAAUUCAGUGAUUACAAAUGCAACAAAAAGACAAUACAAAUUUUACCCCAUAUAACCGUAAAUCUAACCAAACGGAAGGAUAACACUCAUAAAGACAAAAUCUUGCUUCACUUUCUUAAUAACUUGCAAAAGACGACGCUCAUUCGACAAAUAAGUCAUGCUACGAGACAUCACGGAGAUGUCUUCAUAGUCCUUUGCCAAAAAAAACAACAAACAACGAAACCACAACCAAAACAAAAUAAACUCUUCAAAGGUACGAUUCCUCAAUCAUGGGAUACCCGCACCUAACUAACAAGAAAGAUAAGCUCGCAAUGCCUAAACCCAAUGAGCCGGCUGGACCUAACACCAUCAAGACUCGCAAGGUAAACAUCCUACCAUCACCUGAAGAAUUUGCAACGACAAUAAAACAUGAUUGUGAAUCCCUCAAACCACUGCAACAACCCCUCAAACGAAAGACCACACCACCCUUUGAUGACAAGACUCGCAGGGUAAACAUCCAACCAUCACCUGAAGAAUUUGCAACGACAAUAAAACAUGAUUGUGAAUCCCUCAAACCACUGCAACAACCCCUCAAACGAAAGACCACACCACCCUUUGAUGAUCUUCAAAUAGUCAACAAUCUUACUAUGAGUCACCUCCAACAAACGUGAGCUUCUUCCCAUAAUCCUUGCCAAAAGCACAAACCACAAAAUCACCACUUCAAAUUUGAACAACAAAUAUCACUUUUAAAAUCUGAAGUUGAGUAAUAAGUUAUUACCGCAACAAAAACUCUCAUCCUCAACUAUAAAAACUCUCCGCGACAAAACAAGCAAAAAAUAUGACUUUUCUCUUGGCGUCCGAGUAUCACCUCCUCCCUUUUCCAUUAUGGUGCGUUUCCUUUCCCUAUCUCGGUUUACUUUGUAUUGAUACCGUCUCCUGUAUCAAGAGAAGAAUACAUUACUAUCUAGUUAUUAGUCUUCUCCAUCACUUCUUCAUCGUCACUUCAAUCACAUCUUAACCGUCACUAAAUCGUUGAAUUUUUUUUUUUUUUUUCAAAAACCUACCCACGAUUUCACUCUCUAAUAUUGUUCUUGAAUUUAAAGUUGAAGACAUUAUUUCAAGUUUCAACCACUUCCCGUAAUUCAACCAACCCAUGUCUACAUUGUCCACGUAGAGAUUUCCAUCACCAGACUAUGUACUAUUUUAGAAUGAUAAAUUAAAUGGCAGUAUUGCUAUUUUUGUAGUGCUCAAGUGUCUUUUCUUGUUUAUGGAAUAGUCCUUACCAACAAUGAAGAUCAAAGUAACACUCAAACCGACAUUGACAGCUAUAACGAGUGCUUUUAUAAGACGCACUUCUGUUUAUAUAAAUUCCUUAAACCCAAUUAAAUUGCAUUUUUUGUGUUUUCUUCAAUUAACUUUACAUUUUUAUUUCAAAUGUUAUAUGAUAAAUGGUUUUGAUUUUUUCAAAAAGCUUUUUUUUAAACAAAACGAUAGUAUUUACACUAAGAGAAAUGAUGUGGGCUUAGUCUCACAAUGAGCAGGCAAAAUGUGGUUCAAAUUCGCCUUUAGCGAAAAUCAAACCUAAAACCUCUCGCUUACAAGUAAAUAACGUUUUUAAUCUUUCUAAAAGCACUAACAAACAAAUAUUAGUUAUUUCAAACAUGUAAUAGGGAAUUUAAGCGCCCCGAUUUGUGGCUAUUUUGCCUAGUUUUGGGGACCAGUGAAGGAGAUCCAAAUAAAUGCCCUGGUAGAAUAGCUCACCUUUCAGCCCAUCACCAACCAACUAAAAUAUGCAAACGUGUAUGUAUUAACCAAUAACCAAAGUCCACGACCAUCAUGUACGGUGCAAGCGCACCCUCUUACUUUGCUCCUCUCUCUAAUGGCGUUGUGUCACCAAUUUGUUUUCAAGUUUGUAACCAAGUGGUAUUCAAUACGUGAGGGGAACAAACGAAGACGGAUAUCCUAUUUUUCGGGAACAUAUAUCAUCGGCGACGUCUCCAAACUAAUCAUAAAUAACUGAGAGUCGUCCACCAACACGUAAACAACAAGAUCUAGAAUGCAUGAUUUACUAAAACAUAUAUAUGUAUUGUACAGUAUGAACACAUAAGCUCUAGCUUGUACACUAGAAACAAUGCGUCGAUCAAUGAGAUUGAUUGGCAUGGUUUAACCCUGCAAGAAACGUUGGCGUAAAACUUUUGAUUUUAUUUUUUAUGUUGCAGUAUUCAUUAAUCAUGCUUAUCAUUUAAAGACGUCAACAUUUAUUUAUUGAAAUAAGUCUGAUGAGAGAACGUUAUCUGUUUAAAAUUGUUGGGACUUCACAACUAAUUAUUUGAUGUGUUAUAGAUUAAUGAGAUGUAUUAGAAUUCGAAAAGCUUCGUAUUUGCACGAAAGAAUGUGAUGGGGUGGUGGGAGUUUGAUGGGGAAACAUGGGACCCUUGAUUUUUCAGGAAUUAUUUGCUGAAUUCCGAUAAGAAACGAAACCUUGUGAGCCCAGCAGAGCAGCAUUCCCAAGAAUUGGACAUGUAAGUGGUGAAAGUUCUGAAACAAAGCAUGUGAAUUGCAGUCUGGAAUCCGCUAUAAAAAUUCCUACCCCACUCUUUAAAUUGCACGAUGUUUAUAUAUAUAAUAUGUCAAUAUCUUAGGAUUUGUUUGUAAAUGUUUUUAAAAUGAUUAAAAUCGUUUUUUGUGAAAUUAUUUUUGGAUUCCAAAACCACAUGAAAUUCUUCUUACAAAAAACAUAUAAUUGGUGUUUCUUGCAGAAAGCACUUCAAAUAUUUUUUCAAGAUUCACUUAUAUUUUUACUAAAAAUUGGUUCCAAAAACACUUUUAAAGAAAUUGCUUUCAUCAUUUUAAAAACAAUUUCAAACUAACAUUUAUUUAUUUGAUAAACACAUUAUGCGCUGUCAAUUUCUGUAGGAAAUUUCAUCAAACUUGUCUUCACAAGUUUUGGUAAACACAAACUAACUAAAACUCGUGGGGAUAAGAAGUAUAGAGAUGAAAUGUAGAGAACCUGUGGGAAAGAAAUUCUAUAUGUACUAAAACCCGUGGAGAAAUCAAUGUAGCUUAGUAACAGUGCAUUUCCAGUUUUACACCCGCUUAUUUCAACUUCGCCCCGUUUGCUUCCUUCUUCUAUGCUCCUCCCCCCUCGUGUAAUAUGCCAAACCUUCAUCUUCAACUCGACCUCCCCCUUCACAAACUCCCUCCGGUCCCUUUUCUCUAUAAAUUGUAAUCACCGCCACCACCAGUUCGCUCAAACUUUGUCUAUAAAGCCUCUUUAAAUGCACAAGAAUUGAGAUUUUUGUAUCAUCAACAACAAAGACAUGAAAGUUGUCGCAAGAAAGAAGAUUACCUGACAAAGAGGAGGUUUUCUUGGAUUCUCAUCGUCUCUUGGGCCACCACUUCCACCUUCAUUUCCAGGUGCCUUUUAGGACCUGAUGUUGAACAGAAAUGAUGCCAACCGAAAGCAUUGUAACUUUCCCAUUCAACGUUGCCACGUUGAAGGCAAUAACGACGAGAAAUUUUUGAAGUCAAGCAAGAAAUCAAUGGCUUCUCCCGCAUAAAAAGCAUUUUUCUCACUCUCUUUUACAGUGGAAGAAGCUAUUGAUUUCUUUCUUGGCUUCGACAGUAUCUUCAAAAAUUUCUCCGCCGUUGUUGCCUUCAACAUGGGGACGUUGAAUGGGAAAGUUCCAUUAUCGAGGGGUGUUUUCUGUUCAAUAUUAUGGGGUCCGCAAAAAUGCACCCUGAAAAUGAAGGUGUUGGUGGUGAUCCAAGAGACGAUGGAAAUCCAAGAAACCUCCUCUUUUUUAGGUUAUCUUUUUUCUUGCUAUUAUUUUCAUGUCUUUUGCUGUUGAUCAUGCAAAAAUCUCAUUUUUCACGACUAAAGCUUGUAAGCACAAGGCCAUAUUAGAUGACUUGUAUGUCUGAGACUCUGAAUUGCCGUUACUAAACUUGUGAUUGCAAGAGAGAAAAUUGUUUAUUGGGCCGGCAAUGCCGUGGAAAAAAACAAAACUUCAUGAAAAAAUAUAUUCUCCCAUCACACUAAUUAUGUUUCUGAAAUGAAUGUGUGAAACAACUGUGAUCUUUAGUCAAUGCAAUUCUUAUCUUUUAAGUUUCAAGAAUUUCUGUAAAGCUUAGUAUUUGUGAAAAUAAUUCAAGUGUUUUUUUUUUUUGUGCAAAAAAUUAUUUUUUAUUUAAUUUUUUUUAUUUGGUUUUCACCUGAUAAAAUCGUUUGACAGCACCAGGCUACCAGCUACAUGCCAGGAGGCCCAGUUCAAAAUCUGUGGCGUGUGAGUUGUUUGAUAAAAGGUAGAGUGAAGAUAGGACAAUACUUGCGUUUCACGAAACAGUUGAUCUAAUUAUUAAAUAUAUUGUCACUUAGUACUACAGUAUAAUAGUAUUUCUCUUCACUUGUAAGUAAGAUGUAUUAGGUUUGAUUCUCACCAAAAACAAAUUUGAACCUUUGGUGAAUUUGAACUAUAUUAUUGCUAGUCUCUUGUGAAGCUAACCUCACUCUUCUCUUCCUUAAUGUAGAUAAUAUUGUUUGUUGAAAAAAAAAAAAGGCUAUUGAGCAUAUUGUAUUCACAAAUUGGGAUUUCAUGCUCAAAUAUUUGGGUACCAGUAAUAGUCCAUCUAAAUGUCCUACAGUUCGAGGGAAACUUACAUAUGUAUAUCUUUUUUAAAAAGAGACUUGCAACGAUAAUUUGUAGGAAGAAUACUUUUUAGGGAACUUUAACGAAAAGCAUCUGGUACUGUUCAUUUUAACGAAAAACCACAUUUUUACACUAAAAAGUCAAUCCUGGUACUAUUCACUUUACUCUUUAUUUUGUCCUUAUCAUUAAAACUCAAAGUUUUCAAACCCUUUUCAUUAGUUUUCCUUACUUUCUAACGAGCGUUUGGAAAUAACUUAUAUACAACAUACGUAUAUCUUUUUAGAAGAGACUUGGCCACAAAAAUAUAUGGGAUUUUAGCUAAAAUAGCCUUAUUUGCAAAACACAAUUCCAAAGAAGUCCAUUUUGCAAAAUAGAAUCUGCAAUGGGCACUAACUAUUGGUUAAUUGCAUAUCAGCCCAAAUUUAUUAUUAUGAUAUCAUCAUUAUUCUGUCACACUGUUGUCAUUAGCUCCAAUUUGUCAUAAUAUUAAAAUAAAAUUCAAAAAAUGAUCUUUAUGUGGUUAUUCUUGUUGUAGGCCUAUUUGACUUAACUGUAUUUAAUACAGAGAGGGAGAAGGGUCGGCGACAACAGAGAUAGAAGAGUGAGAUGUAAUUUUGAGGUAUGUGUUGUAUCAUCCUAUUGUGUCUUUAUUUAUAGUAGUAGGGAAGAUUAAAUCAUUACCCUAUUAGGAUUACAACUCUAAUAGGAAUUUAACCACUAAAGAGAAUAUACAAAGAUACUCCUAGAUACACUAGGAUUUACAUAAUCACAUUCCUAAUCCAAUAGAACUGCAACACUCCCCCUUGAGAGUGUAAAUACUCAAACAAAGCAUCACAUCAGAUCUUAAGCAGAUAAGGUAGAACAGUUGAUGAAGUCGUCGGCACAACGGGUGAAUGGGAGUCUCAAAUUUAAAAGAAAGUAUGCAUGGGUAGUAAAACUCAUAAACACUUUGCUCUAGUAAAACCUAAGGCAGGUGAAAACCCAUAGACUAAGGAGAAAAGUGAGAAGUAUGCAUAAUGUCUUAAAACAAACGUCAAAUAGGAUGAAAAUAGUGAACUCAACGGAGUAUGAUCAUCACAGGAUGAGUGCCUCGUUUAAACCUCUUUAGGUAGCAAAACCCCAGUGGGAAAAAUGUUCCUAAUCAUAAGAAAAAUAGUAUAUUAAGAUCAAGUGAGUAUGCUUCAAGAUACUCCUCUUGAGUUAUACAUAACUUCCAAAUAAGAGAAAGUAAUUCAACUCAGAUAAUUUACGCAUACCGAUUCCUUGGACGAGCUUCUGAAAAGUAGACUUAAACAAUGACUUGGUGAAGAGAUCGGCCAAGUUGUCUUGGGAACGGAUUUGCUUGACUUCAAUGUUUUGAUGAUAUUGUUGCUGGUGAGAAUAAAAUAACUUCGGCGUUAUGUGUUUGGUGUUGUCUCCCUUAAUGUAACCAUUCUUUAACUGCUCGAUACAUGUUGCAUUGUCUUUAAACAUCAUCGUAGGAAGGUCAAUGACAGAAGUAAGACCACUAGUGCUUCGAAAAUGUUCCAUGACUGCUUUCAACCAAAAGCACUCAAACAAUGCUUCAUGCAAGGUGAGAAUCUUAGCAUGGUUCGAAAAAGUCGCAACUACCGUUUGCUUGAUAGACCUACAAGAUAUAGCGGUGUCUCCAAUGGUAAAUACAUAACCUGUUUGAGAAUGUGCCCUAUAUGGGUCAGACAGAGAACCAACAUCUGUGUAACCAACGAGGUGAGAAUAAACUCAAGUGACAGAGGGGGGCGGUGGCUUCUCUCAAGGAUUCAUGGGUGUAGAACAAGCCCAAAUCAAUCAUACCCUUAAGGUAGCGAAACAUAUCUUUAACACCAUUCCAGUGUCUGCGUGUAGGCGUAUUGCUGUAUCUAGCCAAAAGAUUAAUGGUGAGAUAUAGGUCUAGUGCAUUGAGCCAAGUACAAUAAAGCACCAAUUGCACUUAGGUAUGGAACUUUAGGCUCCAAAAUCUCUUCUUCAUCCUCCUUUGGACUGAAGGGAUCUCAUUUAGCAUCUAGAGUCCGAACGACCAUAUGAGUACUCGAAAGCUUCGCUUUAUCCUCAUUAAAACGUCGCAACACCUUUUGGGUGUAGUUCGAUUAAUGUACUAAGAUUUCAUUCGAACAAUGCUCGAUCUCUAGGCCGUUUUCCCAAGAUCUUUCAUCUCAAAUUCCAAUUUCAAGUGAACGACGAUUUCCUCAAGCUCUGCGGGAGUUCCAAUGAAGUUCAUGUCGUCGACAUAAACUACAACGAUUGCAAAUCUAGAAUGUGACUUCUUUAUGAACACACAUGGGCAUAAUUCAUUGUUCACAUAACCCUAACUUGUCAAAUAUUCACUUAGAUAGUUAUACCAUAUCCACUUAAAUUGUUUCAAUCCGUAGAGUGAUCUCUUCAAUCUAAUCGAGAAAGUGUUCCGUGGUCUAAAACUAUUUGAACCAGUCAAUGGAAGUCCUCCUAUAACUUUUAUGUACAUUUUUGUAUCUAGAUCCCCAUAGAGAUACGCAGUUACCACGUCCAUAAGCUGCAUAUUCAGUUUUUCAAAAACUACCAAACUAAUAAGAUUGCAAAACGUUAUGAUGUCUAUUACAGGGGAAUACGUCUCCUCGCAAUCGAUCCCAGGGUGCUGAGAGAAGCCUUGCGCUACGAGGCGUGCUUUGUAUCACAUUAUUUCAUUUUUUCUCAUUACGCUUGCUCACGAAAACCUACUUGUAGCUCACGGGCUUCACAUGUGGGGGAGUAGGAGCUACAGGCCCAAACACCUUACAUUUCGCAAGCGAAUUAAGUUCGACCUGGAUUAAUUAUUUCCAGUUUGACCAAUUUGUUCUAUGUCGACAUUCAUCAACGGAACGUGGUUCAAUGUCAUCGCUAAGCAUGAUGUCGGAAGUAACGGUAUAUGCGAAUACAUCAUCGACAAUCAUCUCAUUCUGAUUCCAAACCUCAUCCAAUACUGCGUAAUGGACCGAAAUCUCAUGAUUCUUGGGAGGCCGGUAUGUUUCAUCUAAGACAUCGCCGUAAUCUAAAAUAACCACAUG